RNAcentral lists this ribosomal RNA (253 nucleotides) under uncultured bacterium. RNAcentral describes it as "partial 16S ribosomal RNA". It matches the Rfam family "Bacterial small subunit ribosomal RNA", at positions 15 to 252 of the family's 1533-position model. The record is from RNAcentral.
GAUCAUGGCUCAGGAUGAACGCUGGCGGCGUGCUUAACACAUGCAAGUCGAACGGGAAAUACUUUAUUGAAACUUCGGCGGAUUUAAUUUAUUUCUAGUGGCGGACGGGUGAGUAACGCGUGGGUAACCUGCCUUAUACUGGGGAUAACAGCCAGAAAUGGCUGCUAAUACCGCAUAAGCGCACAGAACCGCAUGGUUCGGUGUGAAAAACUCCGGUGGUAUAAGAUGGACCCGCGUUGGAUUAGCUAGUUGG